AUUGAACGCUAGCGGGAUGCUUUACACAUGCAAGUCGAACGGCAGCGCGGACUUCGGUCUGGCGGCGAGUGGCGAACGGGUGAGUAAUGUAUCGGAACGUGCCCAGUAGCGGGGGAUAACUACGCGAAAGCGUAGCUAAUACCGCAUACGCCCUACGGGGGAAAGCAGGGGAUCGUAAGACCUUGCACUAUUGGAGCGGCCGAUAUCGGAUUAGCUAGUUGGUGAGGUAACGGCUCACCAAGGCGACGAUCCGUAGCUGGUUUGAGAGGACGACCAGCCACACUGGGACUGAGACACGGCCCAGACUCCUACGGGAGGCAGCAGUGGGGAAUUUUGGACAAUGGGGGCAACCCUGAUCCAGCCAUCCCGCGUGUGAGAUGAAGGCCUUCGGGUUGUAAAGCACUUUUGGCAGGAAAGAAACGUCGCGGGCUAAUACCCCGUGGAACUGACGGUACCUGCAGAAUAAGCACCGGCUAACUACGUG
RNAcentral lists this ribosomal RNA (484 nucleotides) under uncultured bacterium. RNAcentral's name for it is "partial 16S ribosomal RNA". It matches the Rfam family "Bacterial small subunit ribosomal RNA", at positions 30 to 507 of the family's 1533-position model. The record is from RNAcentral.